UGGGGAAUAUUGCGCAAUGGGCGAAAGCCUGACGCAGCAACACCGCGUGAGGGAUGACGGCCUUCGGGUUGUAAACCUCUUUCAGCUCCGACGAAGCGAAAAAUGACGGUACCUGCAGAAGAAGGUGCGGCCAACUACGUGCCAGCAGCCGCGGUGACACGUAGGCACCAAGCGUUGUCCGGAUUUAUUGGGCGUAAAGAGCUCGUAGGCGGUUCAGUAAGUCGGGUGUGAAAACUCUGGGCUCAACCCAGAGACGCCACCCGAUACUGCUGUGACUUGAGUACGGUAGGGGAGUGGGGGAAUUCCUGGUGUAGCGGUGAAAAUGCGCAGAUAUCAGGAGGAAACACCAGUGGCGAAGGCGCCACUCUGGGCCGUAACUGACGCUGAGGAGCGAAAAGCAUGGGUAGCAAACAGGAUUAGAUACCCUGGUAGUCCAUGCCGUAAAACGUUGGGCACUAGGUGUGGGUCUCAACCAACGAGAUCCGCGCCGUCGCUAACGCAUUAAGUGCCCCGCCUGGGGAGUACGGUCGCAAGACU
RNAcentral lists this ribosomal RNA (537 nucleotides) under uncultured bacterium. Its description in RNAcentral is "bacterial SSU rRNA". It matches the Rfam family "Bacterial small subunit ribosomal RNA", at positions 355 to 895 of the family's 1533-position model. The record is from RNAcentral.